CAAAGAGUAGUUUAAAAAAAAAAUAAUAAUUUUGGAGAUUAUUGAUAAAGAAUAAUCUUUUUCUUUGA
This 68-nucleotide transfer RNA is filed under the name Haritalodes derogata. RNAcentral's name for it is "tRNA-Pro". The record is from RNAcentral. Lineage: Eukaryota; Metazoa; Arthropoda; Insecta; Lepidoptera; Crambidae.